GCUUGUCUACCUGAAAGGUUGGGCAAAGGUCAGCAAGUUUGUUUGGACCCAAGAAAGUCCUGGGGUCCCAGGAGAGUUCAGAUAAUCUGGGCUUGAGGUAAAAACAGAGUUUUGCUUUUGAGAAAUGCCUGGAACCUUCCUUAUGAUGUGGAUGAAAGGAGCCUCGGGGAUCUGGGCAAAUGAACUCUGAAGAUGAAGUCACUGAAGCUAAUAGAAAAGAGGUGAAUUGCCCAAGGGCACGUAAUAAUGCACAGAGAGGAGAUUCAAACUCAGUUUCCCUGACUGCAAAUCCAGGACAACCGUGCAUGAUUCUGAAGGAUGCUGACUUCCUGGCCAUUGGGAGAAGAGUUUGGUUUCCUUGCACAGUUGGCCACAUCAAAUUAUUUGGAGGCUAUGGUGUGAACAGAGAUGUGGCAAAGUUUGGGGAGAAACAAUGUGAUGUCUAUUGAAGGAGCACCGGACUUUGAUUAAAUGUUCCUUAUGUUCAAAUCCCAGCUCUCUUGCAUAUUAUAUGGAUGGUUCCAUUUAAAUCAAUUCACCUGUCUAAGCUUCAGUUUCUUUCCCUAUAAAGUGAUAAUAAUAAUAGCUGUAGGACCUACCUCUGAAGGUUGUAGGUUAACCUGAAAACACUAUAGAGAGGUCAGGUAUUCAUAUUAUAGCACAUUAUACUAUACUAAUGAAAUUGCUAUGGAUAAUUCUGUAUAUUUAUAUAUUGUAUAUAUUGAAAUGAUGCAUUUUAUAUGAUUGUAUUUGUCUUUUUGCCUUUUAUUAGACUAUAGAUUGAACUGACUCACUUCUAUAAACUUACUGUGUGACUCUCAAUGCUCCAGGUACCUCUCUAAGAAUAUAAAUUGCAGAAGAAAUGUCAGCUGGCAUAGGGAGGAGGAACUAAUCACACCAAUGAAAUCAGGUUUGACCAAAACAACAACAAAAAAACUCCCCAAAUUCCAUAAAAACAUGGAAUAUAGCUUGUCUAAAAUUUUAUCUCUCUGUGGCUAGCAGCUCUAUCCCAGUAGGUUCCUGUUUAAUGUUUGUUGAAAGAAUAAAUGGUUGGAUAAUACUAUGCUUUAAGAAAUA
RNAcentral lists this long non-coding RNA (1077 nucleotides) under Monodelphis domestica (gray short-tailed opossum). RNAcentral describes it as "lncRNA (ENSMODG00000033814.2)". Lineage: Eukaryota; Metazoa; Chordata; Mammalia; Didelphimorphia; Didelphidae. The record is from RNAcentral.